ACCAUCUCCGGCUGUAACCAAUGACGUCAUUCCCGUCUCCCGUUACAGACCCUUCUCCGCCGUUUCUCCGCCCUUACAAACGGUCUUCCGCUCUCCGCUCUCCGCCCACUGCUUCUUCCGCUGAAGUUGCUGCCCACUAAGAAACCGGUCCCGGCCUCCGGACCGUAUUUCAAUACCUAUGGUUUCCCCUGCUAAGUCUCCCUGGGAUAGCUGCUGCCCUAUUGUUCUCGGCAAGUUGAUAUAAGGGCCGCGCAUUGGAUAUACGUACUGCACACCAUACUCCAUGGGCAUCGAGCAUGACCUUUGUUUCUAGUAGAUAGAAGUUCCAGGCUUAUGCUCAUAUCAUCUAUGUAUAUAUAUAAAUAUAUAAUAUAAUAUAAUAUAAAACCA
Molecule: small RNA, 390 nt
Filed under: Histoplasma capsulatum
Lineage: Eukaryota; Fungi; Ascomycota; Eurotiomycetes; Onygenales; Ajellomycetaceae
Also listed under: 1 other name
Description: hypothetical RNA
Source: RNAcentral